This 24-nucleotide non-coding RNA is filed under the name Arabidopsis thaliana (thale cress). The record is from RNAcentral. Lineage: Eukaryota; Viridiplantae; Streptophyta; Magnoliopsida; Brassicales; Brassicaceae.
GGCGUGGCCGGGAAUUCGAUAUAG